Molecule: non-coding RNA, 688 nt
Organism: Phoenix dactylifera (date palm)
Lineage: Eukaryota; Viridiplantae; Streptophyta; Magnoliopsida; Arecales; Arecaceae
Source: RefSeq, a predicted model, not a curated record
AACCCCGUGCACCAAGGAAUCCAAGUUUAUAUAUCGCUCACCCUUUUAAUUUCUCCUCCACUUCAUUCUCAACAUCACACCAGAAACCUCCUUCCUUUUUUUUUUCCUCCCUUUUGUUUUCUCAGCUCCUUCUCAUCUUCUUCGUUGUAUUUGGUCUGUAGGUCCCGUUAUUAAGCAUUAAGAAUGAGUCAGCCUCCUCCAGGUUAUGCCUACCCUCCUCCAGGGCAGUACCCUCCUCCAGGGAAAUACCCUCCUCCAGGGCAGUCCUACUUCCCACCUCCUCCUCCGGUGCAACCAGCUCCCAUGCAGGCUCGGCCCAGCAGCAACGAUGGCUUCUGGAAAGGAUGCUGUGCUGCCUUAUGCUGCUGCUUCCUUUUCGAAGAGUGCUGCUUCUAAGGCUCGGAGGAAGAUAACCUUCAAUUUAUCCAUCUUCAUUGUCCUAAGCUCUUGAUAGAUAAUUACACUAUAUCUCUUUGUAGUGUGACAUGAAAUAAAUACAUGGUCAAGAUAGGAACAGUGAUGUUCCUUGUUUAGCAACUGUGCUGCCUUGUGGUGCUGCUUCUAAGGCUCGGAUGGAGAUAAAUUGAAGUUCAUUUUAAGCUCCUGACAGAUAUUAUUCCUCUUUGUAAUGCGACUGAAAUAAGAACAUAUGAAAAAAUUGGUAAAGAUGGGAUCAAUUUAUGUGCUA